UACGGGGGAUGCAAGCGUUAUCCGGAUUUAUUGGGUUUAAAGGGUGCGUAGGCUGUGAGGUAAGUCAGCGGUGAAAUGCCCCCGCUCAACGGGGUGAAGUGCCAUUGAUACUGCCUUGCUGAAAUGCGGAUGCCGUGGGAGGAAUGUGUGGUGUAGCGGUGAAAUGCAUAGAUAUCACACAGAACACCGAUUGCGAAGGCAUCUCACGAAUCCGCUAUUGACGCUGAUGCACGAAAGCGUGGGUAUCAAACAGG
Molecule: ribosomal RNA, 254 nt
Filed under: uncultured bacterium
Lineage: Bacteria
Description: partial 16S ribosomal RNA
Rfam family: Bacterial small subunit ribosomal RNA
Source: RNAcentral